AACGAACGCUGGCGGCAUGCCUAACACAUGCAAGUCGAACGAGACCUUCGGGUCUAGUGGCGCACGGGUGCGUAACGCGUGGGAACCUGCCCUUAGGUUCGGAAUAACUCCCCGAAAGGGGUGCUAAUACCGGAUAAUGUCUUCGGACCAAAGAUUUAUCGCCUUUGGAUGGGCCCGCGUUGGAUUAGCUAGUUGGUAGGGUAAAAGCCUACCAAGGCGACGAUCCAUAGCUGGUCUGAGAGGAUGAUCAGCCACACUGGGACUGAGACACGGCCCAGACUCCUACGGGAAGCAGCAGUGGGGAAUAUUGGGCAAUGGGCGAAAGCCUGAUCCAGCAAUGCCGCGUGAGUGAUGAAGGCCUUGGGGUUGUAAAGCUCUUUUACCCGGGAUGAUAAUGACAGUACCGGGAGAAUAAGCUCCGGCUAACUCCGUG
Molecule: ribosomal RNA, 433 nt
Filed under: uncultured bacterium
Lineage: Bacteria
Description: partial 16S ribosomal RNA
Rfam family: Bacterial small subunit ribosomal RNA
Source: RNAcentral